AUUGAACGCUGGCGGCAGGCCUAACACAUGCAAGUCGAGCGGUAGCACAGAGAGCUUGCUCUCGGGUGACGAGCGGCGGACGGGUGAGUAAUGUCUGGGAAACUGCCUGAUGGAGGGGGAUAACUACUGGAAACGGUAGCUAAUACCGCAUAAUGUCGCAAGACCAAAGUGGGGGACCUUCGGGCCUCAUGCCAUCAGAUGUGCCCAGAUGGGAUUAGCUAGUAGGUGGGGUAACGGCUCACCUAGGCGACGAUCCCUAGCUGGUCUGAGAGGAUGACCAGCCACACUGGAACUGAGACACGGUCCAGACUCCUACGGGAGGCAGCAGUGGGGAAUAUUGCACAAUGGGCGCAAGCCUGAUGCAGCCAUGCCGCCGUGUGUGAAGAAGGCCUUCGGGUUGUAAAGCACUUUCAGCGGGGAGGAAGGCGUUAAGGUUAAUAACCUUGGCGAUUGACGUUACCCGCAGAAGAAGCACCGGCUAACUCCGUGCCAGCAGCCGCGGUAAUACGGAGGGUGCAAGCGUUAAUCGGAAUUACUGGGCGUAAAGCGCACGCAGGCGGUCUGUCAAGUCGGAUGUGAAAUCCCCGGGCUCAACCUGGGAACUGCAUUCGAAACUGGCAGGCUAGAGUCUUGUAGAGGGGGGUAGAAUUCCAGGUGUAGCGGUGAAAUGCGUAGAGAUCUGGAGGAAUACCGGUGGCGAAGGCGGCCCCCUGGACAAAGACUGACGCUCAGGUGCGAAAGCGUGGGGAGCAAACAGGAUUAGAUACCCUGGUAGUCCACGCCGUAAACGAUGUCGAUUUGGAGGUUGUGCCCUUGAGGCGUGGCUUCCGGAGCUAACGCGUUAAAUCGACCGCCUGGGGAGUACGGCCGCAAGGUUAAAACUCAAAUGAAUUGACGGGGGCCCGCACAAGCGGUGGAGCAUGUGGUUUAUUCGAUGCAACGCGAAGAACCUUACCUGGUCUUGACAUCCACAGAACUUAGCAGAGAUGCUUUGGUGCCUUCGGGAACUGUGAGACAGGUGCUGCAUGGCUGUCGUCAGCUCGUGUUGUGAAAUGUUGGGUUAAGUCCCGCAACGAGCGCAACCCUUAUCCUUUGUUGCCAGCGGUUCGGCCGGGAACUCAAAGGAGACUGCCAGUGAUAAACUGGAGGAAGGUGGGGAUGACGUCAAGUCAUCAUGGCCCUUACGACCAGGGCUACACACGUGCUACAAUGGCAUAUACAAAGAGAAGCGACCUCGCGAGAGCAAGCGGACCUCAUAAAGUAUGUCGUAGUCCGGAUUGGAGUCUGCAACUCGACUCCAUGAAGUCGGAAUCGCUAGUAAUCGUAGAUCAGAAUGCUACGGUGAAUACGUUCCCGGGCCUUGUACACACCGCCCGUCACACCAUGGGAGUGGGUUGCAAAAGAAGUAGGUAGCUUAACCUUCGGGAGGGCGCUUACCACUUUGUGAUUCAUGACUGGGGUG
This 1462-nucleotide ribosomal RNA is filed under the name bacterium PT17. RNAcentral describes it as "bacterial SSU rRNA". It matches the Rfam family "Bacterial small subunit ribosomal RNA". The record is from RNAcentral.